GUGCCAGCCGCCGCGGUAAUACGGAGGGUGCAAGCGUUAAUCGGAAUUACUGGGCGUAAAGCGCACGCAGGCGGAUAAGUAAGUCAGAUGUGAAAGCCCCGGGCUUAACCUGGGAAUUGCAUUUGAAACUGCUUGUCUAGAGUAUGUCAGAGAAGGCGGAACUUCCAGUGUAGCAGUGAAAUGCGUAGAUAUUGGAAAGACACCGAUGGCGAAGGCAGCCUUCUGGGGCAAUACUGACGCUCAUGUGCGAAAGCGUGGGUAGCAAACGGGAUUAGAUACCCGGGUAGUCCACGCCCUAAACGAUGUCAACUAGGUGUUGGGGGACCUUGAGUUCUCGGUACCGGAGCUAACGCAUUAAGUUGACCGCCUGGGGAGUACGGCCGCAAGGUUGAAACUCAAAGAAAUUGACGGGGACCCGCACAAGCGGUGGAGCAUGUGGUUUAAUUCGAUGCAACGCGAAGAACCUUACCAGGCCUUGACAUCCAGAGAACAUUUAGAGAUAGAAUGGUGCCUUCGGGAACUCUGAGACAGG
This 532-nucleotide ribosomal RNA is filed under the name uncultured Suttonella sp. RNAcentral describes it as "bacterial SSU rRNA". It matches the Rfam family "Bacterial small subunit ribosomal RNA", at positions 505 to 1038 of the family's 1533-position model. The record is from RNAcentral. Lineage: Bacteria; Pseudomonadati; Pseudomonadota; Gammaproteobacteria; Cardiobacteriales; Cardiobacteriaceae.